GAUGAACGCUGGCGGCGUGCCUAAUACAUGCAAGUCGAGCGAACGGACGAGAAGCUUGCUUCUCUGAUGUUAGCGGCGGACGGGUGAGUAACACGUGGAUAACCUACCUAUAAGACUGGGAUAACUUCGGGAAACCGUAGCUAAUACCGGAUAAUAUUUUGAACCGCUUGGUUCAAAAGUGAAAGACGGUCUUGCUGUCACUUAUAGAUGGAUCCGCGCUGCAUUAGCUAGUUGGUAAGGUAACGGCUUACCAAGGCAACGAUGCAUAGCCGACCUGAGAGGGUGAUCGGCCACACUGGAACUGAGACACGGUCCAGACUCCUACGGGAGGCAGCAGUAGGGAAUCUUCCGCAAUGGGCGAAAGCCUGACGGAGCAACGCCGCGUGAGUGAUGAAGGUCUUCGGAUCGUAAAACUCUGUUAUUAGGGAAGAACAUAUGUGUAAGUAACUGUGCACAUCUUGACGGUACCUAAUCAGAAAGCCACGGCUAACUACGUG
Molecule: ribosomal RNA, 497 nt
Filed under: uncultured bacterium
Lineage: Bacteria
Description: partial 16S ribosomal RNA
Rfam family: Bacterial small subunit ribosomal RNA
Source: RNAcentral